Molecule: ribosomal RNA, 449 nt
Filed under: Gleimia europaea
Lineage: Bacteria; Bacillati; Actinomycetota; Actinomycetes; Actinomycetales; Actinomycetaceae
Description: bacterial SSU rRNA
Rfam family: Bacterial small subunit ribosomal RNA
Source: RNAcentral
AUCCAAAGGCUUUUUGUUUUUGGUGAGAGUGGCGAACGGGUGAGUAACACGUGAGUAACCUGCCCCCUUCUUUUGGAUAACCGCAUGAAAGUGUGGCUAAUACAGGAUAAUCCAGGCUGGUCGCAUGAUUGGUUUGGGAAAUGCUUUGUUGUGGUGGGGGAUGGGCUCGCGGCCUAUCAGCUUGUUGGUGGGGUGAUGGCCUACCAAGGCGGUGACGGGUAGCCGGCCUGAGAGGGUGGGCGGUCACACUGGGACUGAGAUACGGCCCAGACUCCUACGGGAGGCAGCAGUGGGGGAUUUUGCACAAUGGGCGCAAGCCUGAUGCAGCGACGCCGCGUGAGGGAUGAAGGCCUUCGGGUUGUAAACCUCUUUCGCUGGGUUGAAAGGCCAUGCUUUGGGUGUGGUUGAUUUGAACUGGUAAAGAAGUACCGGCUAACUACGUGCCAGCA